GAAACCUGGUUGAUCCUGCCAGUAGCAUACGCUUGUCUCAAAGAUUAAGCCAUGCGCGUCUAAGUAUAAGCGAUUAUACUGUGAAACUGCGAAUGGCUCAUUAUAUCAGUUAUAGUUUAUUUGAUGGUCCUUGCUACUUGGAUAACUGUAGUAAUUCUAGAGCUAAUACAUGCGUAAGAACCCAACUUUACGGA
This 194-nucleotide ribosomal RNA is filed under the name uncultured eukaryote. RNAcentral describes it as "partial 18S ribosomal RNA". It matches the Rfam family "Eukaryotic small subunit ribosomal RNA", at positions 1 to 196 of the family's 1831-position model. The record is from RNAcentral.